GAUGAACGCUGGCGGCGUGCCUAAUACAUGCAAGUCGAGCGAACGGACGAGAAGCUUGCUUCUCUGAUGUUAGCGGCGGACGGGUGAGUAACACGUGGAUAACCUACCUAUAAGACUGGGAUAACUUCGGGAAACCGUAGCUAAUACCGGAUAAUAUUUUGAACCGCAUGGUUCAAAAGUGAAAGACGGUCUUGCUGUCACUUAUAGAUGGAUCCGCGCUGCAUUAGCUAGUUGGUAAGGUAACGGCUUACCAAGGCAACGAUGCAUAGCCGACCUGAGAGGGUGAUCGGCCACACGGGAACUGAGACACGGUCCAGACUCCUACGGGAGGCAGCAGUAGGGAAUCUUCCGCAGUGGGCGAAAGCCUGACGGAGCAACGCCGCGUGAGUGAUGAAGGCCUUCGGAUCGUAAAACUCUGUUAUUAGGGAAGAACAUAUGUGUAAGUAACUGUGCACAUCUUGACGGUACCUAUUCAGAAAGCCACGGCUAACUACGUG
RNAcentral lists this ribosomal RNA (497 nucleotides) under uncultured bacterium. Its description in RNAcentral is "partial 16S ribosomal RNA". It matches the Rfam family "Bacterial small subunit ribosomal RNA", at positions 28 to 507 of the family's 1533-position model. The record is from RNAcentral.